Long non-coding RNA from Lucilia cuprina (Australian sheep blowfly), 600 nucleotides. RefSeq lists it as uncharacterized. Lineage: Eukaryota; Metazoa; Arthropoda; Insecta; Diptera; Calliphoridae. The transcript has 3 exons. The record is from RefSeq and is a predicted model, not a curated record.
GAAGCAUUUGAAACAAAUUUUCUUUAAAAGACGCUUACAAAGCGGAAAAACUAACAAAUGUUUCUAAGACUUUAAGCGAGUAACAACGAAGCCAAAAUUGUUGAGUUUAAAUUAAAUAACAAAAUUUUGAAAUUUAUUACAAAAAAAAUAAACAAAAAAUAACAAAAUAACAAUUGCUAUAAAUGUAAAUUAAAUCAACAAAAACGGAAAAUUUUUAAAACAGAGUUACCAUUGCUAUUCGAGAAAAAAAGUAGUAAAAAGAAAGUGUUAAAACGACUCAAAAAAAUAGCUCAUACUCAAAACGAUAACAAAUACAAAAAAAAAAAAAAUAAGCUUAAGAAAGGUUCAAGAAAGAAACAAAAUUAACAAAAAAACAUCUGCAGCCAUAACAGCAACGAGUGCCAGCCACCGUUCAUAUGCCGGUCUGAGCCAGUAAAAGUCAAUACGAUACCAAACUAAACGGACGUGUUUAACAACGCGUUUUAAAACCUUAAAAACAAGAAACCAAAUUUUGAUUUUAAACUUAAAUUUGUUUGUAACAAAUUAUUUUAAACUCAUUAAACUAAAAACAAAUAUAAAAUGAAGUAUUUAUAUCUGCUC